RNAcentral lists this ribosomal RNA (305 nucleotides) under uncultured bacterium. RNAcentral's name for it is "bacterial SSU rRNA". It matches the Rfam family "Bacterial small subunit ribosomal RNA", at positions 335 to 633 of the family's 1533-position model. The record is from RNAcentral.
AACCUACGGGAGGCAGCAGUAGGGAAUCUUCCACAAUGGGCGAAAGCCUGAUGGAGCAACGCCGCGUGGGUGAAGAAGGUCUUCGGAUCGUAAAACCCUGUUGUUAGAGAAGAAAGUGCGUGAGAGUAACCGUUCACGUUUCGACGGUAUCUAACCAGAAAGCCACGGCUAACUACGUGCCAGCAGCCGCGGUAAUACGUAGGUGGCAAGCGUUAUCCGGAUUUAUUGGGCGUAAAGCGUUCGUAGGCGGUAUGUCAAGUCUGAUGUUAAAGCCCGGGGCUCAACUCCGGUUCGGCAUUGGAUAC